CGAGUCGCAAGCUCGCGAGAGUAAGCUAAUCUCUUAAAGCCGUUCUCAGUUCGGACUGUAGGCUGCAACUCGCCUACACGAAGUCGGAAUCGCUAGUAAUCGCGGAUCAGCAUGCCGCGGUGAAUACGUUCCCGGGCCUUGUACACACCGCCCGUCACACCAUGGGAGUUUGUAACGCCCAAAGUCGGUGGCCUAACCUUUAUGGAGGGAGCCGCCUAAGGCGGGACAGAUGACUGGGGUGAAGUCGUAACAAGGUAUC
This 259-nucleotide ribosomal RNA is filed under the name uncultured bacterium. RNAcentral's name for it is "partial 16S ribosomal RNA". It matches the Rfam family "Bacterial small subunit ribosomal RNA", at positions 1243 to 1500 of the family's 1533-position model. The record is from RNAcentral.